UUAAUUUUAGCUCCACAAUAAGUAUCAAACUUGCCGCUCAUGGAAUCGAAUCUGAAAUAUCUCACUUACAAAUUGAGAGUAAAGUACUACUAGACUCUAAUGCUACAUCCUCACGUCCCUUAGUGUAAAUAAUAUUAUUUAUUAAAAAAAUAAGAUUGAACUAAAGAUAUAUCUAAUUAGUAUUAUAAUCUAAUGAUAUUCCUCUUCACUUUUAAGUGAGAUGCUUUAGAUUAAUCCUCAUUGAAGACAAAUUUGAACCUUAUUAUUACUAAUUUAUUAUAAAACUUAACCCACUCUUCACCCAUUUAGUGCAUAUAAUAUCUUUUAUUCAAAAAAAAUAAAAAAUCCCUAAAGGUAAAUAACUAUUUGUAGGGUUGGUUCGGAUCAAGAUCCCGAGCUAAAACCCAACACUUGAAUACUGAAUUGAUCCCUUUUAAAAGGGGAUUUCGGAACCAAAACCCAGAACCGAAAUUUCGGUAUUUUCUAGUUUUGGGAUUCUUGAAAAAUUUUCGGAAUUUUGGUACGGUUCGAGAUUUCAAUUCCUAUUUGCCUUCUUGUAAAUGGAGGCUCGUGAUUAGUUCAAUUGAAACCUGCAUCAAAAUCCCAAACCAAAAAAAUAAAAACCCUAAUUCCACCUUUGAAUCCCGAAAUCUAGAGGUUCAAAUUCAAAUUUGUUCGUAUCCAUUAUUCAAAUCAAAGAAACGUAACAACCAUGGGAGCGACGGUGGUGGUGGCUUUGGAGGACACCCACGGCGCCGUGGACUGACAAAUGUGGAGAAUAAGGAAGGAGGAGAGUUCGAGAGAUGAACAAUUAGGGAGGAAGAGAGAGAUAUGAGAGUCGAGAACUCGAGAGAGGGUAUGGUGUGGACCGUGGUGGCUGGAGGGAGAUGAGAGGAGAGGGUAUGGUGUGGUGGUCGGAAUCGAUACUCGGAGAAGGUGGGGGAAAGAGAGGUAGAGGCGGAGUGAACAGAGAGACCUCGAGAGAGAUAAAAUAUAUGGAGAAAUAACCACAAAUUUGACCAUAAAUAGACAUUUUUAACCAACACUUAUAAAGUUUCAUAAUUCUAACCAAAAUUAACAUAAAAAUACCGCAAUGUCCUUUUAGUGGAGUUCACACUUGCUGUGCUCGACUGCGUUCCCACCAUGGCUUACAGCCACUAAACCUAUUGGUCAGAUGUAGCUUUUGGACAAAGAUCCGGAAUUUCCUGCUGAACUCUGAAUAUUUUCAAUUUCUGGAGCUUUGGAGUUCUGGGCUUCUUCUGCAACUGGGUCUUACAAUGAAACAUGGUGUAUAUGCAGAGAGGUUCGUAACUGAAAUUGCAGUGAAGGAAAACUGGGUCUCUGGGUGUUCUCUAAUUGUAUACUAAUCUCUGGGUUUUGGCUCACAGUUUGGAAGGGCUAUCUUGUGCUCUGAUGCUGCUACAGAAGCUGCUGGGUACGGGUUUAUUGAGUCUGUGGACAGACCGGAAGGAUUCUUGGUUUUAAGUGUAGCUUCUCAGGGAGACCAGAUCACCAAGAUUAAGAACCCACCGGAGGAUACCAAGUCUUCAGAAGAGAAGAGCUUCUGGGAAAUGCUUCCAUUCAAUUAUCGAAAGCAUUUGCAAAAACAGCGAGGAAAAUAAGUAACUAAAAUAGCGAUUGAAAAAAAUGUAUAGAAAAAAAAAAUGAAAGGCAGCGAACGAAGAACCACGAAUUCUAAUAAAGGGCAGUAUAGUAUUUUUAGGUCAAAUUUUGGUUAGAAUUAUGAAAAACUAUGACAGUUGAUUAAAAUUCUAUCCAUGAUCAUUAGCUACUUUUUUUAAAUUUCCCGAGAGAGAUAGAGAGGCCGGAGGCUUUCAGAUUGCUUAAUGACGACUAAGAGAGAAUCCAUUGAAAGGUUGAGAUUAAAUUUCAACCAAUUCAAUGAUCUACGUAUUUUCUAAACUUAAUUUAAAAUUAAACAUAUAUAUACACUUAAUAAAUGUUUCGGUUUGGUUUUGGGAUUACCGAACGAAGGCAUAUAGGAUCCCGAAUCCAGUAACAAAAUUUUCAAGACCGGGGUACUGAACUCUGUGGGAUGUUUUCGGUUCGGUUUCGGGACUUUUUUAGUUUGGUUUGGGAAUUUCAGUAUUUUUUUCCUCCCCUACCUAUUUGUAUAGCUGAAUUUUCCUUGAAUAUUCAGUUGUUCAUUCUGUCUAGAAUACAAUUCGAUCUCCAACCCAGAUACCAAAAGGUGCAGAAGACUGUAAAGCAGGAACUGUCUGAAUUUGGUUAUUAUUUUACAUCAUUGUGGAAUCUGCAUAUGCUGCAUUUACCGUUGCAUAUUUGCUUGGAUGAUGCAUGGGAAUCAAGAACAACUUUUCUUUGCUAUAUAUUAAUUCAGAUAGAUUAAAAAACUGUACAUUUUUAGCAAAUUUAACUCUCUUUCAACAAUCUUGAUAAGAUCCGAUGAUGCAUUUUCCAAGUUCAUUAAGAUAUUGAUGAUAGCGACGAGUGAAACAUUGAUACGUUGCGGAGAUUCUAACUGUGAUGAAUGCGCUAAUCAUUCGAGUACUUACUGCCUUAAGCCUUAAAUCCGCAAGAAUUUGAAGAAAAAAAUUUACAAGCAUAUAUUAUUAUACAUAUGCUAGUUUAUCCAGGCAAACAUGUUUAAUGGAAAGCACUAGAGAGUACUACUGGAAGAUUUCAUUUGAAACCCCAGCUCCGUAAUAUUACAAGUAGGAUUCUCACAUUAGAAUCGGAACACGAACAUGCAUGCCAGUUAAUUAGCAUACCGAACUCGUCAUUCAUGGUCGUACACUUUUAAUAUAAAUCUAACUUGAAGAACUAAAGAGGAGUUUAACAAUCAACAAACAAAAUACAUGUUUCAUAAGCA
This is a long non-coding RNA of Pyrus x bretschneideri (Chinese white pear), 2854 nucleotides long. RefSeq lists it as uncharacterized. The transcript has 2 exons. NCBI's taxonomy places the organism in Eukaryota, Viridiplantae, Streptophyta, Magnoliopsida, Rosales, Rosaceae. The record is from RefSeq and is a predicted model, not a curated record.